GGGCAGGAUGUAACUGCAGUCUAGCUGUUCAGGAUUGUGUAAGCUCCUGCUCAGAACAAUGCUGUUUUUUCUAGCUCUAUAUGUCUACCCCUGUGUAGAGCCAGCGACACUUGGUCUCAUACAU
This 124-nucleotide small nucleolar RNA is filed under the name Meriones unguiculatus (Mongolian gerbil). RNAcentral's name for it is "Small nucleolar RNA SNORA63 (ENSMUGG00000013441.1)". The record is from RNAcentral. Lineage: Eukaryota; Metazoa; Chordata; Mammalia; Rodentia; Muridae.